RNAcentral lists this ribosomal RNA (798 nucleotides) under Salmonella enterica. Its description in RNAcentral is "partial 23S ribosomal RNA". It matches the Rfam family "Bacterial large subunit ribosomal RNA", at positions 430 to 1230 of the family's 2925-position model. RNAcentral also lists the same sequence under 1 other name. Lineage: Bacteria; Pseudomonadati; Pseudomonadota; Gammaproteobacteria; Enterobacterales; Enterobacteriaceae. The record is from RNAcentral.
UAUCCUGUCUGAAUAUGGGGGGACCAUCCUCCAAGGCUAAAUACUCCUGACUGACCGAUAGUGAACCAGUACCGUGAGGGAAAGGCGAAAAGAACCCCGGCGAGGGGAGUGAAAAAGAACCUGAAACCGUGUACGUACAAGCAGUGGGAGCACCCUUUGGGUGUGACUGCGUACCUUUUGUAUAAUGGGUCAGCGACUUAUAUUCUGUAGCAAGGUUAACCGAAUAGGGGAGCCGGAGGGAAACCGAGUCUUAAUUGGGCGUUAAGUUGCAGGGUAUAGACCCGAAACCCGGUGAUCUAGCCAUGGGCAGGUUGAAGGUUGGGUAACACUAACUGGAGGACCGAACCGACUAAUGUUGAAAAAUUAGCGGAUGACCUGUGGCUGGGGGUGAAAGGCCAAUCAAACCGGGAGAUAGCUGGUUCUCCCCGAAAGCUAUUUAGGUAGCGCCUCGUGAAUUCAUCUCCGGGGGUAGAGCACUGUUUCGGCUAGGGGGCCAUCCCGGCUUACCAACCCGAUGCAAACUGCGAAUACCGGAGAAUGUUAUCACGGGAGACACACGGCGGGUGCUAACGUCCGUCGUGAAGAGGGAAACAACCCAGACCGCCAGCUAAGGUCCCAAAGUCAUGGUUAAGUGGGAAACGAUGUGGGAAGGCCCAGACAGCCAGGAUGUUGGCUUAGAAGCAGCCAUCAUUUAAAGAAAGCGUAAUAGCUCACUGGUCGAGUCGGCCUGCGCGGAAGAUGUAACGGGGCUAAACCAUGCACCGAAGCUGCGGCAGCGACACUGUGUGUUGUUGGGUA